GACCUUGUAGCUCAGCUGGUAGAGCAACAGACUCUUAAUCAGUGGGUCGAGAGUUCGAGCCUCUCCGGGGUCA
This 73-nucleotide transfer RNA is filed under the name Sphingobacterium arenae. RNAcentral's name for it is "tRNA-Lys". It matches the Rfam family "tRNA". Rfam says of the family: Transfer RNA (tRNA) molecules are approximately 80 nucleotides in length. Their secondary structure includes four short double-helical elements and three loops (D, anti-codon, and T loops). The record is from RNAcentral. Lineage: Bacteria; Pseudomonadati; Bacteroidota; Sphingobacteriia; Sphingobacteriales; Sphingobacteriaceae.